GGAGACGUGCCCGAGACCUUAGGGACUAUUUUGAUAAGAUAGACACAGAGACUACCACCCUCUCGCCUCCC
Molecule: transfer RNA, 71 nt
Filed under: Leiolepis guttata (spotted butterfly lizard)
Lineage: Eukaryota; Metazoa; Chordata; Lepidosauria; Squamata; Agamidae
Also listed under: 1 other name
Description: tRNA-Ile
Source: RNAcentral